AACGAACGCUGGCGGCAUGCCUAACACAUGCAAGUCGAACGAGACCUUCGGGUCUAGUGGCGCACGGGUGCGUAACGCGUGGGAACCUGCCCUUAGGUUCGGAAUAACUCCCCGAAAGGGGUGCUAAUACCGGAUAAUGUCUUCGGACCAAAGAUUUAUCGCCUUUGGAUGGGCCCGCGUUGGAUUAGCUAGUUGGUAGGGUAAAAGCCUACCAAGGCGACGAUCCAUAGCUGGUCUGAGAGGAUGAUCAGCCACACUGGGACUGAGACACGGCCCAGACUCCUACGGGAGGCAGCAGGGGGGAAUAUGGGACAAGGGGCGAAAGCCUGAUCCAGCAAUGCCGCGUGAGUGAUGAAGGCCUUAGGGUUGUAAAGCUCUUUUACCCGGGAUGAUAAUGACAGUACCGGGUGAAUAAGCUCCGGCUAACUCCGU
Molecule: ribosomal RNA, 432 nt
Filed under: uncultured bacterium
Lineage: Bacteria
Description: partial 16S ribosomal RNA
Rfam family: Bacterial small subunit ribosomal RNA
Source: RNAcentral